GAAUUUUAUUAAUAUUAAAUUAUUAAUAAAAAUAUAUUUAAUAUUAAUUUUGUUGGGGGGAUAUUUGAAUUAAUAAAACUUUAAAUUAAUUAAUAACAAAAAUUAAUGGGAUGAUAAAUUAUAUUAAAUGAUUUAAAUUAUAUUAAUAAAAGAAUAAAUUACCUUAGGGAUAACAGCAUAAUAUUUUUAGAGAGUUCAUAUUGAUAAAAAUGUUUGU
Molecule: ribosomal RNA, 217 nt
Filed under: Labidus coecus
Lineage: Eukaryota; Metazoa; Arthropoda; Insecta; Hymenoptera; Formicidae
Description: partial large subunit ribosomal RNA
Source: RNAcentral